Cicer arietinum (chickpea) is the source of this 1823-nucleotide non-coding RNA. The record is from RefSeq and is a predicted model, not a curated record. Lineage: Eukaryota; Viridiplantae; Streptophyta; Magnoliopsida; Fabales; Fabaceae.
UAUGAGAAGUUAUUUCAAAACUUGUGAUAUUACUAAUCUUAGUUAGGGAUAAUGGUAGUUGCAGCAAUGGCAUGUUCGUCAUGUAGUACAGUAGCAGCGCCAAGGAAAUGGAAAUUGAAGUCACCGAGGCUCUUCACACACAAAUUCAAAUGCUGUGCGACACAACCACAACCACAACCACAGUGUUCUAUUGUGCACAACGACGACUUGCAAGCUCUCUUACAGCUUCUUCCAUCCGAUUUGCAUCACAAUCUCCUCAACCAACCAAAUCGCCCUCAACUUUUGGAGGUUAUAUUGGAUUUAGGCCGUUUUCCUGAAGCGCGUUAUCUAGGCAAACUCGGAAAUCAACAUCUGAGGAAUUCUGAGGUAACGAUCAAAGAGUUGGAAUAUGCUGAAGGAGCUGUUGGAGAGUUUGGGAAGGACAAUAGAGCUGGUAUUGAGGGUACUUUGCAUAGAAUAUCUGCAAUAAGGAGUAGGAAUGGUAGCAUUGUUGGUUUGACGUGUAGAAUUGGGAGGGCAGUCACUGGCCACAUUGACAUGGUUUAUGAUCUUCUUCAAUAUGGCAAGAGCAUUUUAUUUGUUGGAAGACCUGGGGUUGGCAAGACUACUGUCAUGAGAGAGAUUGCUCGUGUAAUGUCAGAUGAAUUUCACAAAAGAGUGGUGAUUGUCGAUACCAGUAAUGAAAUUGGAGGUGACGGAAAUAUUCCCCAUGCAGCAAUAGGUGGUGCACGGAGAAUGCAGGUACCCAAGCCAUCAAUGCAACACAGCGUGAUGAUUGAGGCAGUUGAAAAUCAUAUGCCUGAGGUGAUCAUAGUAGAUGAGAUUGGCACUGAAGCUGAAGCUCAUGCUUGCCGGUCAAUUGCUGAGCGAGGCAUCAUGCUUAUAGGGACUGCUCAUGGAGAGAAGAUUGAGAAUGUCAUGAAGAAUCCUACACUCUCUGAUCUGUCAAUUUGUUGCUUACUUCAGGGUCAAAAGGACUGCAAGUUUUUGUGUGUGUGUGCGUGUGGUGGGGAUGCAAUUCAUAAGAGCAUUGUGGCAUGUCUAUGCAUUCACAUUAAUGUGGCUAAUUAACAUUAAUCACAAUGGGCCACUGUGAUUUUGGCAAAAGCUACACUUUGGAGCUUCAACAAAAUCAUGGCGCCAUCAUGACUACGUGCAUGUUUGCUUCACUCAUUCAGUUGAGAUACAUAUUGGAGGAGUUGAAAGCGUUACUCUGGGAGAUGCAGAAGCCAGAGCAAGAAAAUGUCAGAAGACUAUCCUUGAGAGGAAAGCUCCCCCAACAUUUGAUUUCUUGAUUGAGAUGAGAGACAGACACUACUGGCUUACACAUCAGACCGACAAAAGCGUAGAUAUGUUGCUUCGAGGCAAGAGCCCACAGGUCGAGGUAAGAAAAAGAGAUGAAAAAUGCAAGGUUGUGAUUGAAAAAUCUAAAGCUUAUGAUACGUGCCAAAUUUGAUUUUUUUACCUUUUCAUAAUAUAAUUCAUUUUACAAAAGAUUCAGAUUUUAAAUUUAUAAACCUGUUGAGCAUUUUGUAAUUUUUUUGGCGACAUUCUAUAUAUGUGUGUAUAUUUUUCACUUUAUGUUCCUGAUAUAAACAAUUUAAAACACGAUGGCAUCUAAUUAGAGCAUGCCAUUACCAUGCGAGUGCCUAGUUUUGUCGACCAAAUAUUUUCUUCAAUGUGUUAUUGUCUAAAUGCCUUGUGGGUGCAUUACCUCUCUUCGUUCAGGACAUCAACUUUUGUUGAUUGAUUGAAGAUUAUGACGGUAUGUUGCUCGGUAAUGUAAUGCCUACAUUUGCCUAUCAUAUCCUCUUGAUGCAUAA